This 533-nucleotide ribosomal RNA is filed under the name Podosphaera fusca. RNAcentral's name for it is "eukaryotic LSU rRNA". It matches the Rfam family "Eukaryotic large subunit ribosomal RNA", at positions 102 to 651 of the family's 3401-position model. Lineage: Eukaryota; Fungi; Ascomycota; Leotiomycetes; Helotiales; Erysiphaceae. The record is from RNAcentral.
UAACAGCUCAAAUUUGAAAUCUGGCUCCUCGGGGCCCGAAUUGUAAUUUGUAGAAGAUGCUUUGGGUCUGGGCCUGGCCUAAGUUCCUUGGAACAGGACGUCGUAGAGGGUGAGAAUCCCGUAUGCGGCUGGCGCCCGUGCCCGUGUAAAGCUCUUUCAACGAGUCGAGUUGUUUGGGAAUGCAGCUCUAAAUGGGUGGUAAAUUUCAUCUAAAGCUAAAUAUUGGCCAGAGACCGAUAGCGCACAAGUAGAGUGAUCGAAAGAUGAAAAGCACUUUGGAAAGAGAGUUAAACAGUACGUGAAAUUGUUGAAAGGGAAGCGCUGGCAACCAGACUUGGGCGCUGUUGAUCCGCUAGGGUUCUCUCUAGGGCACUCGGCAGUGCGCAGGCCAGCAUCGGUUUGGGGGGUUGGAGAAUGGCUGGUGGAAUGUGGCUGUCUUUGGGCAGUGUUAUAGCCACCGGUGGCAUGCAGCCUCCCCGGACCGAGGACCGCGCUUCGGCUAGGAUGCUGGCGUAAUGGUUGUCAGCGACCCG